GCGGUGGUAGCUCAGCUGGAUAGAGCAUUUGGCUACGGACCAAAGGGCCGGGAGUUCGAAUCUUCUCCGCCGCA
This 74-nucleotide transfer RNA is filed under the name Clostridium intestinale URNW. It matches the Rfam family "tRNA". From Rfam's summary of the family: Transfer RNA (tRNA) molecules are approximately 80 nucleotides in length. Their secondary structure includes four short double-helical elements and three loops (D, anti-codon, and T loops). Further hydrogen bonds mediate the characteristic L-shaped molecular structure. tRNAs have two regions of fundamental functional importance: the anti-codon, which is responsible for specific mRNA codon recognition, and the 3' end, to which the tRNAs corresponding amino acid is attached (by aminoacyl-tRNA synthetases). tRNAs cope with the degeneracy of the genetic code in two manners: having more than one tRNA (with a specific anti-codon) for a particular amino acid; and 'wobble' base-pairing, i.e. permitting non-standard base-pairing at the 3rd anti-codon position. The record is from Rfam by way of RNAcentral. Lineage: Bacteria; Bacillati; Bacillota; Clostridia; Eubacteriales; Clostridiaceae.